AAAGAGUUUCCUGUUCCGUUAUAAGGGUCCCAUUUAUCACUGGAUCGGUCUUAGAAAACCUCAAGAGGAUCGUUGGGAAUGGGCGAAUGGGCAAAUCUUCAACAACACACUGUUUGACAUUGUUGAAGGGGGGGACUGUGCCUACCUGAAUGACGUGAAGGUCAUGUCAUCGUGGUGCAAGACCAAGAAGAACUGGAUUUGCAGCAAGCCAGAUACUUACAUGCCACAAAGAAAGCUGUCAGAAGAGAGACGUGAAGCAGGGCCGUAACAAUGAAAAUUUUAAGUAAUGAGCUGUGUUAUCUUGCCAAGUUCAUGUGAAAACACAGUGUAUUUUAAAGAAUGAUUUUAUUUUGUUUUCUCCUUCAGAAUAGUCUAGUAUAACACAAUACUUUAUUUUCCCAUACUAUUUCUCACCUGCAUAUGGCUUUGAAAGCCAUUGUUUGUCAGCAUAACUUAGGUUUACAUUUCUCCCAUACAUUUAACAACAUACUCUCUGCACUUUGCCAAAAGGACCAAAAGCUCUUUUUCUCCCUUCUUAAAAAACAUUUUUCUAAUCCUGGUGUGACAAUGCCUAGUGCCGAGGGUGGUGGUGAUGAUGACAAUGAUGGGACAUUAAUAAUGUGUUAUCUUCUUCAUCUCUCUGAAAUUGGGAAACAUACUGAUGAUGAUAAGGUUAAAUGCACUCCUUUAAGCAGUCACCAGAGGGCGCUAUGCUACAGUACAUGCCUGGAGAGGCUUUACAAAGGAAGGACCUCAAGCUGGUACAGUCAUGAGAGAAUUUGAUUAGAACUUAGUCUGGAUGAUACCAAGAAAUAUAAGCAGAGUAUUGGUUAGUAAAGCUGUCAGAAAACUUACUUGGUUGAUUACAGAAAAGACUCUGAAUUCAUUGAUAAUUGGAAACCUUUGAUGGACUUUUUAUGCAAGACAGAAAAGAAUUUGUGGGUUUGAGGAAUAUAUGAUUAGGGAUUUAGCUACAUUAGAGAGAGGUGUGGCUGUUUGGGGGGAUAAUAUUUAAGAUUUGCAAUUACAACUCAAUCCAGAGCUGUCAGGUAGGUGGGGACAGCCCCACUUCGGCACUACUCUACCUGCUCCAGAGGGAUUUCCCAUGGCACGGGAAGCCUGAAAAAGUUUUUUAAAAACUCACCUAAAACUUCCCCUAGAGGAGAAUAGAGAUAUGCCAUGAAAAUUGUGGUGUAUCUCUGCUGGUGACUACACCAGUGUAUGGGGGCCAACUGGGCACUGGAAGCCAACCAAGGUUGGCCCCACCGUGCCAACACAGCUGGGGGUGGUGUGGGAAUGCCGACGUGAGGC
Sphaerodactylus townsendi is the source of this 1311-nucleotide long non-coding RNA. RefSeq lists it as uncharacterized. NCBI's taxonomy places the organism in Eukaryota, Metazoa, Chordata, Lepidosauria, Squamata, Sphaerodactylidae. The record is from RefSeq and is a predicted model, not a curated record. The transcript has 3 exons.